AUGAUAAUGUCAUUCAAUGCGACAACUUAUGUCACAUUUAUCAUAGAAGUCCCAAUCUGUUUAUGAUGAAUUAGGAAUUAUUAUAGACAAGGGUUAUUUCAAGUCCAAUUUAUACUCUUAUUGAUAUAUAAAAUCAGAGGAAUAAAACAUUAUUUAUAUAUAUGUUUACACACGAUGCCCCAAAGAACAAUUAAUAAAAAAUGGUUACAGCAUCACAUAUUAGCCCCUUUUUAAUAAGCAGUACUUGUGCUACUCUUAAAAUAGUACCAUUUAACUAUUAAAUAAAUAGAGUCAGCAUUCAUUAGUCUCAUUUUAGUACAAAAAAAAAUAAGAACAGUAAAGAUCAUCUUCUCUCUAAUAGAGGUUACUCCGGCGAUAUUUUCUGAAAAAAUAAAAUAAAAUAACGGCAUGCUUAUUCGAGUGUCAAAUUCAGAGUUGACCAUAACUCUUGGGAGGACACAAUCAGUGGUGUGUCCGACCGGAGUUGCGGUGGUGCUAUUGACCAGAGUAGCGAUGGUGUAUCUGAUCGGAANNNNNNNNNNNNNNNNNNNNNNNNNNNNNNNNNNNNNNNNNNNNNNNNNNNNNNNNNNNNNNNNCGGAAGACCAAAAUUACAUUUAUAGGUAUGUGCUAAAUUAGUUUUCUAUCUCUACCCUUUAAAAUCGAGAUAUUACAUACAAAUUUAGGGCAAUGAACCUGACUCUGAUACCAUUGAAGCAAUUUUCAGAAUUUCAGAUCAAAAUAGUGUACCUUAGUAUGUAGCAGAAUUGUAUGUGCUUCUGAAAUUGGAUCUGCCCAAAUCUGUUUUGAAUCACUUGGAAACAAAACUUUAAUUACAAACUAAAUGCUCUUAUUGUUGUCACUGAUUUUUCUCUGUAUUCAAGACCCAAUUUUUUAUUCUCUGUAUAUUUGUUUCUUAUCCCAUCAGACAAAGAAAACAAAUCAUUUUAUAGGGGUUAUUUGGGGCGGGAACAGUUACAACCGUCCCCCCCUUUACUUGAAUUAAGAUUAUCUUAAUCUUAUUAUUUUAAAAUAAAAAAUGUGUCGGGUCGGGUCGGGUCGGAUCAGCCCACAUGAUGACCCAUAUUAUUAAUCCAACAGAAUCUAAAUUUAUUUGAUGUUGCCCCAUAUUAUUAAUCCAACAGAAUCUAAAUUUAUUUGAUGUUGCUUUGAUCUAUUGAUCUCCUUGACAUUUCUGUUCUCAAAAUAGUGGCAUGCUAUGUAAGGACAAAUCUGUUCAACUCAAUGAAUUCAGUUCCAACAAGCUACGUAAUUGUAACUAGUUUUUUAAAUUUAAGUCUCAUUCAUUUAAUAUAUAUAUAUAUAUAUGUAAAUAAGUAAUAUCAAUUUUUAUUUUAUAGCUUUGAGAACCAAAUCCAAUAUUUUUAUCACAGGAUAUUAACAAAGUCAAAGGUGAAACUAUACUUUAACUGCAAGUUAGAUUCCAUAUGUAUUAUGGUCUAUGUGUAUUCAUUUUUAAAAAAACUUUUAACCUUUAUUUUAUUAGAGUUCGCGGUACUCCCAAAUCCCAAACAUUCAUCAAACUUUUCAGAUAAAUUAUGGCAACUACUCCCUUCAUUUCAUUCGCUUGACUUGGAGUGGGAAAGUCAAAUUAAUUAAUAUUUAAUGUACAUUUGGACAUAUAAUAUUUAUAUUUAUUUAUUUAAUUUUAACUUGAUAUUAGAUUUUAAAAAUAAAAAAAUAUUUUUAAAUUUUACGAUCUUAAAUUAAAAAAAUGUAGAAUAUAUUAAAGUUUUAUUUGUUCUCAUAGUCUUAAAUAUGUUGUUUAAAAAAAAAAAAUUUAGCAAAAAAGUAUAUUUUUUAAAAAUAAAUUUAAAAAAAAUAACACAAAUCGAUCUAAACAAUGAAAAAGUAAUAAUGAAUAAUUUAAAAUAUUUAAAAUAAAUAUAAAAAAUUAUAAUAAAAAAAUUUAUCUUUUUUUUGUGGUGGAAUAUAAAAAGUUUGUCAUUUCACUAGUAUUUUUUUCUGGAUAAAAAUAAAAUAUUCCAAGUUCCUUUCCGUGGCUAUCUUAUUGAUUCUUUGACAAAAAAGAAAAAAGCUAUCUUAUGUUCCCCUUGAUUUAAAACACUCCACAAUCUGACAACUGACAUGUUCAGCUUCCAUUAAUUUAUUUUUUUUGAAACUUUUCAGGAAAAUCUGCAGCCGCUACACCCUCUGUCACAGCCUCUAUCCUUCGGGUGAGCACUCUGUGGUGAGCAUUGUGUGCGCACUGAGUAAACCCCUGAUGCAAUAGCCUGCAAACCACAUGGGAUGUAAACCGCACUAGGCAAGCCCUGUGCGACAGGCUCAAAUCCAGAAGGCAUUGAGGAGAAAAUCGAUCCCUAAUCAUCCGAGUGGGUAACCGCCCUCCAAACCAACUAGUACUUACUUCGGUAGUUUUGUUUGUCCAUGUAAUAAAAUUACUGUUUUAUUUUAUUUAUUAUUAAGAUACGUGUUAGACACUCGAGAUA
This 2469-nucleotide long non-coding RNA is filed under the name Capsicum annuum. Its description in RNAcentral is "long non-coding RNA (CANN_LNC008094)". Lineage: Eukaryota; Viridiplantae; Streptophyta; Magnoliopsida; Solanales; Solanaceae. The record is from RNAcentral.